ACAGUCAUAGGAAGUACUCACUGGAAGUAACGUCAAAGGCGAUCUCCAGCAACGGAAAACUGAUGGUGUGAAGAGGAUUGGACAGCUAGAAGGAGAAGGAGACAAAGGAAGAGUGUUAUCGUUCAUUUGCCAGCGGCCCCAUUACGGAGCAGAGUUUUGGGUGAGCCGGGAAGUACGAGUACAGGAAGCCGCAAGCAGUCGUGACGGCAACAUUAUUCCUCCGGCCCUUCAUCUAUCAACAACGCCCAACGAAACCCCAGGAUAAGUCCUAGUAAACCGUGGUUCUGACCCUAUUUCACGUAGAGUGUGUGGAGUGCAGUGGGUGAGUCCUUGUCUUUGCUGUGAGUGUGUACACUUGAAAUCUUGCAGUGGUAUGCUGUGGUUGUGUUGUCAGUAGCCACCCUGGACUGGACGAGUCGUGGGGGAGACCAGUGACCGUUGAGGCUGGUGAAGCGCCAUUUUCAUCUAAAUGCCAUUUUUUCGACCCCUGCAUGGAGACCCAAAUGUAACGUCCUGUCUAGACCCUUUCAGAAUACCCUGGCUCUGUGGAAGCGGUGGUGAAGAAUACACGUAAGCAAGACUGGUGUGAGUAAAAGCCAAAAAUUAUACCUAUAUGCAAGGAGGAAGUUUUACUGUUGCAAAUUGGCUGUGUGGAUUUACUUUACCUGUUGUGGAGCCUCUUCAAAGGUUCACCCCGGUCCAGAUCCCUUAAACUGCAAAUAGAAGAGAGGAGAGGGAAGCGUUCGGCCCGGUGCGACAGUGUUUAACUUUCCCCGACGCACAGGAAAUCCCUGUGGAGGACUGCGCUACGACGAUUUACUACUCCAGGUCUGACAGUUCAUCUACUUACUGUAUCGCAGUAUUUCACCGUAAGCCCACCGCCCAGGAGAAGUAUUCUAGGAGAAUAGAGCCCCAGUUGCCUGUGGAAUACUUACCUUUGUCCAUUGCUACGAAUCACUAAAGGGAGAAUAGAGCACCAGUUGCCUGUGAAAUACCUACCUUUGUCCAUUGCUACGAAUCACUAAAGUGAGAAUAGAGCCCCAGUUGCCUGUGAAAUACUUACCUUUGUCCAUUGCUACGAAUCACUAAAGUGAGAAUAGAGCCCCAGUUGCCUGUGGAAUACUUACCUUUGCCCAUUGCUGCGAAUCACUAAAGUGAGAAUAGAGCCCCAGUUGCCUGUGGAAUACUUACCUUUGUCCAUUGCUACGAAUCACUAAAGUGAGAAUAGAGCCCCAGUUGCCUGUGAAGUACCUACCUG
RNAcentral lists this long non-coding RNA (1258 nucleotides) under Carassius auratus (goldfish). RNAcentral describes it as "lncRNA (ENSCARG00000022984.1)". Lineage: Eukaryota; Metazoa; Chordata; Actinopteri; Cypriniformes; Cyprinidae. The record is from RNAcentral.